Molecule: non-coding RNA, 50 nt
Filed under: Trichobilharzia regenti
Lineage: Eukaryota; Metazoa; Platyhelminthes; Trematoda; Strigeidida; Schistosomatidae
Source: RNAcentral
GUACUGCUGAAGAGUCGCAAACCAGGACGAUACGGACAGCCGUCCAGUAC